GUCUCCUCACAAAUGUUUCUUGAAUUAACCAAACAAGGAAGUGCAUCUCCUUACAAAUGUUGCUUGAAUUGCCCAAGCAAGGAAGUGCGUCUCCAAUGUUGCUUGAAUUACCAAACAAGAAAGUGUGUCUCCUUUGGAAGUGCGUCUCCUUAUGAUAGCGCUUGAAUUACCAAAAUAAGGAAGUGUGUCUCCUUACAAAUGUUGCUUGAAUUGUCCAAACAAGGAAGUGUGUCCCCUUACAAAUG
This 245-nucleotide long non-coding RNA is filed under the name Capsicum annuum. RNAcentral describes it as "long non-coding RNA (CANN_LNC000096)". The record is from RNAcentral. Lineage: Eukaryota; Viridiplantae; Streptophyta; Magnoliopsida; Solanales; Solanaceae.